GGCUCAGGACGAACGCUGGCGGCGCGCCUAACACAUGCAAGUCGAACGAGUGAGAGAGAGCUUGCUUUCUCGAGCGAGUGGCGAACGGGUGAGUAACGCGUGAGGAACCUGCCUCAAAGAGGGGGACAACAGUUGGAAACGACUGCUAAUACCGCAUAAGCCCACGGCUCGGCAUCGAGCAGAGGGAAAAGGAGCAAUCCGCUUUGAGAUGGCCUCGCGUCCGAUUAGCUAGUUGGUGAGGUAACGGCCCACCAAGGCGACGAUCGGUAGCCGGACUGAGAGGUUGAACGGCCACAUUGGGACUGAGACACGGCCCAGACUCCUACGGGAGGCAGCAGUGGGGAAUAUUGCACAAUGGGGGAAACCCUGAUGCAGCGACGCCGCGUGGAGGAAGAAGGUCUUCGGAUUGUAAACUCCUGUUGUUGAGGAAGAUAAUGACGGUACUCAACAAGGAAGUGACGGCUAACUACGUGCCAGCAGCCGCGGUAAAACGUAGGUCACAAGCGUUGUCCGGAAUUACUGGGUGUAAAGGGAGCGCAGGCGGGAAGACAAGUUGGAAGUGAAAUCCAUGGGCUCAACCCAUGAACUGCUUUCAAAACUGUUUUUCUUGAGUAGUGCAGAGGUAGGCGGAAUUCCCGGUGUAGCGGUGGAAUGCGUAGAUAUCGGGAGGAAUACCAGUGGCGAAGGCGGCCUACUGGGCACCAACUGACGCUGAGGCUCGAAAGUGUGGGUAGCAAACAGGAUUAGAUACCCUGGUAGUCCACACCGUAAACGAUGAUUACUAGGUGUUGGAGGAUUGACCCCUUCAGUGCCGCAGUUAACACAAUAAGUAAUCCACCUGGGGAGUACGACCGCAAGGUUGAAACUCAAAGGAAUUGACGGGGGCCCGCACAAGCAGUGGAGUAUGUGGUUUAAUUCGACGCAACGCGAAGAACCUUACCAAGUCUUGACAUCCUGCGACGGUUCUGGAAACAGAACUUUCCUUCGGGACGCAGAGACAGGUGGUGCAUGGUUGUCGUCAGCUCGUGUCGUGAGAUGUUGGGUUAAGUCCCGCAACGAGCGCAACCCUUAUGGUCAGUUACUACGCAAGAGGACUCUGGCCAGACUGCCGUUGACAAAACGGAGGAAGGUGGGGAUGACGUCAAAUCAUCAUGCCCUUUAUGACUUGGGCUACACACGUACUACAAUGGCGUUAAACAAAGAGAAGCAAGACCGCGAGGUGGAGCAAAACUCAGAAACAACGUCCCAGUUCGGACUGCAGGCUGCAACUCGCCUGCACGAAGUCGGAAUUGCUAGUAAUCGUGGAUCAGCAUGCCACGGUGAAUACGUUCCCGGGCCUUGUACACACCGCC
RNAcentral lists this ribosomal RNA (1352 nucleotides) under uncultured bacterium. RNAcentral describes it as "16S ribosomal RNA". It matches the Rfam family "Bacterial small subunit ribosomal RNA", at positions 21 to 1394 of the family's 1533-position model. The record is from RNAcentral.